UACAGAGGUCUCAAGCGUUGUUCGGAUUCAUUGGGCGUAAAGGGUGCGUAGGCGGCGCGGUAAGUCGGGUGUGAAAUCUCGGAGCUUAACUCCGAAACUGCAUUCGAUACUGCCGUGCUUGAGGACUGGAGAGGAGACUGGAAUUUACGGUGUAGCGGUGAAAUGCGUAGAUAUCGUAAGGAAGACCAGUGGCGAAGGCGGCUCACUGGCCCGGUACUGACGCUGAGGCGCGAAAGCGUGGGGAGCAAACAGG
This 253-nucleotide ribosomal RNA is filed under the name uncultured bacterium. RNAcentral describes it as "partial 16S ribosomal RNA". It matches the Rfam family "Bacterial small subunit ribosomal RNA", at positions 524 to 776 of the family's 1533-position model. The record is from RNAcentral.